GUGGGGAAUUUUGCGCAAUGGGCGAAAGCCUGACGCAGCAACGCCGCGUGCGGGACGAAGGCCUUCGGGUUGUAAACCGCUUUCAGCAGGGAUGAAACUGACAGUACCUGCAGAAGAAGCCCCGGCUAACUACGUGCCAGCAGCCGCGGUAAUACGUAGGGGGCAAGCGUUAUCCGGAUUCAUUGGGCGUAAAGCGCGCGUAGGCGGCUUGUUAAGCGAGAUGUGAAAACCGGGGGCUUAACCCGCGGCCUGCAUCUCGAACUGGCAGGCUUGAGUCUGGUAGAGGAAAGUGGAAUUCCCAGUGUAGCGGUGAAAUGCGCAGAUAUUGGGAGGAACACCAGUGGCGAAGGCGGCUUUCUGGGCCACGACUGACGCUGAGGCGCGAAAGCUAGGGGAGCGAACAGGAUUAGAUACCCUUGUAGUCC
Molecule: ribosomal RNA, 425 nt
Filed under: uncultured bacterium
Lineage: Bacteria
Description: bacterial SSU rRNA
Rfam family: Bacterial small subunit ribosomal RNA
Source: RNAcentral